AUUGAACGCUGGCGGCAGGCCUAACACAUGCAAGUCGAACGGUAACAGGAAGCAGCUUGCUGCUUUGCUGACGAGUGGCGGACGGGUGAGUAAUGUCUGGGAAACUGCCUGAUGGAGGGGGAUAACUACUGGAAACGGUAGCUAAUACCGCAUAACGUCGCAAGACCAAAGAGGGGGACCUUCGGGCCUCUUGCCAUCGGAUGUGCCCAGAUGGGAUUAGCUAGUAGGUGGGGUAACGGCUCACCUAGGCGACGAUCCCUAGCUGGUCUGAGAGGAUGACCAGCCACACUGGAACUGAGACACGGUCCAGACUCCUACGGGAGGCAGCAGUGGGGAAUAUUGCACAAUGGGCGCAAGCCUGAUGCAGCCAUGCAGCGUGUAUGAAGAAGGCCUUCGGGUUGUAAAGUACUUUCAGCGGGGAGGAAGGGAGUAAAGUUAAUACCUUUGCUCAUUGACGUUACCCGCAGAAGAAGCACCGGCUAACUCCGUG
RNAcentral lists this ribosomal RNA (490 nucleotides) under uncultured bacterium. RNAcentral's name for it is "partial 16S ribosomal RNA". It matches the Rfam family "Bacterial small subunit ribosomal RNA", at positions 30 to 507 of the family's 1533-position model. The record is from RNAcentral.